UUUUUGUUUUAUUUAGUUUUUCACAUAAUGUUAUAUUAUAUAUCCAUGUGGACUUGAUGAUUUGGAAAAGAAAUUCUACGUGUCGUAUUUUCAUUCACUAGUUUAGUAAUUCACUAACAGUGUUAAUACUAGGUACCAUAAUAAAACACAUAUUGAUAGUCCAAAUACCACAAUGGAAAUUUUCAAAGUACAAGUACCACAUUGAACAUUUUCAAAGUAUAAAUAUCACAUUGAACAUUUUAUAAAAAUACAAGUACCAAAUGUGAUAUUAUCCCUUUUUAUUUUAACAAGAUUUGGAAUCUAAAGAAAAUGCUGUGUAAACUUAAUUGUGAACUAUCCUACUAAGUCGAUAAAUUUCAAUUUUAAAUAUUUAAGGGUAAACUAUACUAGUAGUUACCCAACUAUCAACAAGUUUUUUAUCACUCAGCUAAGAAAAAUUACAAAAAUGAUCACCUAAUCAUUCGGUUUUUUUCUUUUUUUGUCACCACGGUUAAAUGGUUAACAAAAGAUGAUGUGACAACUAUUAAAAUUAGCAUAAUAAUAAAUUUAGCCACCAACGUUUUCACAUUGUAUCAAUUUAGUCUUAAUUUUUUUUUUAAAUUUAACUCUCAAUGUUUACACUUUACCUAAUUUUAUCCUAUUUUUUACAUGAAAGUAUAAUUUAAUACAGCAAAAUGAUUUUUAAAAAUUUUUAGUUUAUUAUUAAAGUAGACAAUCCUCAGAGCUAUUAUUUUCCUUAUAUUUCAAACCACUGAAAACUUAAUAUCCCUCAAUGAUAAUUAAUUCAUUUUUUGUUAGCUUGAGUUUACUGUCAUUGAUGAAGCAAAUCAAAGCUCAAAAAAUUAAUAUUUUUUUAAGGUUAUUUGACUUACAAUUGGAUUAAAUUAACGAAGCAAGUAUUUUUUAUUUUCAAGCAAUUAAAUUGACUAAUUUUCAAAUUUUGGGUCAUUUUGUUUCUUGUUGUUGUUCAUUUUUUUCAUUGAAUUAAACGUAAAGAUAAUAUCAACAAGGGCCACAAAGAAAAGUAAAACUGAAAAAAGAUCAAAUAAUGCAAUGUGCAAACGUUGAUGGUUUUCAUUUUUUAGAAUCAAUACUAAAUUGGCACAAUGUAUAAAUGUUGAGGGUUAAAGUUGUUAUUAUGACAAUUUUAAAAACUACCAUGUCAACUUCCCAGCACUUAUUUAAUGACAAGUGACCAAAAAAGAAAAAAUCGAAUAGUUGAGUGGCCAUUUUAUAAUUGGGUGACAAAACAAAACUUACUAAUAUUUGAGUGACUAUCAAUAUAGUUUACCCAAUAUUUAAUAUAAUUGAAUCCUAAACAUGAUUGCUUCCUUAAAACUUAAAAGAGUAAAAUUUUCUUAUCAUGUAUAUUAAAUGCUUAUUUAAAGUUGUAAAAAAUAUGUUGAUCGAGUCUUAGUUUGGUUGGCGUCGACAUUGUUGCUAGUGCAGAAGAUCGUUGAUUUGAGUGCGUUGAAGCGCAUUAUUCUCAUAUUUAAGGAUUGAGAGGUGCUAUAAGCAGUUCUAGGCAUUGUAUUAAAAAGAGCAGAUAUGAUAAGAACCUAUAAUGAUAUUAAAGUUUAAAAAAAUUGUAAAAGUUAUAUAUAGUAUUCUAUUAUAUAUUCAUUUACUUUAAUCUUAUUCGUUCAAAAAAAAAUUAAAACAAAUUUUAUUAAAAAUCACAAAAUUUAUAAAUUAAUGAAUUAAUUGUAGAUAAACUUAUUACAUUUUAGUUAAAUUAAUUAAUUUUAUUUAUAUAUUAAUUAAUUUUAAAUAAAUUAAAAUUACAUACUUAAAUACAAAAAAAUUAAUUAAUAAAAGUUUCACAUUUAGUUUUUUAAAUUAUAAAAUAUACUAAUAUCACGUGACUUCAUUUUAAAAUAGUUAUUGAUUUAGGCUUAAUGAUAAAAAGGUUUCUCCAGUCCCUUAAUUUUGAAAAUGAGCAAUUAAGGAUAAUUAAUCACGGUGUUAAUAUCUUUAGUCAAUUGUGCAUAAUUUUGAUUGGUAUAAAAACAAAUUUAGUCCUUGAUGUUUACAUAUUUUGUUACUUCGGUAUUGAUUCUAAAAAAAUCAACAAAUUUAGCCUCAACAUUUACACACUUACAAAAAUAUUGCGGGCUAAAUUUGUUAAAUCAUGACCAAAUUGAUAGAAUGUGUACAUUAUGAGAGCUAAAUUUGUUAUUAUACCAGUUGAAAUCAUGUAAAAUUGACUAAAAUCAUUAACUCUAUGAUUAAUUGUCCUUAGUUGUUCGCUUUCGAAAUUGACAAGGGUUAAAUUGCUCCUUUUUUUAGAGAGACCAAUUUGCUCGAUAUUGAAAUGAGAGGGAUUUUUUUACCUAAGUUUAGCAUAUUUUUUAUAAUCAAAUUAUGUAAUUAUUUAGUAAUUGCUAGUACAAUUAAAAUAGUUUACCUAUUGCAUAUAAAUUAAUUCCAAAGCCCAAAACUUAUUACCCCUUUACUCAUUACUCACAAGUAUAUAAAAUAGUUGUCGACUAAUAAAUUACAAUGAAAUAAUUGUGUUGAUAGAAACAUUUCGGGUAUUAAACUUACAAAGAAAUUGGACUAACUACAAUUAAUAAUUAAAUAGCACAACUUAAAUAAUCAAAUAAGCUAAUUACUAUUCUAAAAUUAUACAAGAGUACUAGUACAAUUAUAAAGAAGAUUUUUUAUUAAAUUAAAUUAAAUUAAUCUAACAAAAUAAAGAAAGCAAAGUAAAUUAUUUAUAGAGUAGAUUGUGUUGAUAUGCUCAAAGAUAGAAACGGUGAAGUAAUAUUCAAUUAAUAAGAAUUAUUAAUCUAUUUUAAUUAUUAAUGGAUUUAGGGUUUAUAAUUAAGAUGAUCAUCAAGAUGUAGAUACUUGAGUUGUGUAGAGCUUACAGGUGUCUAGAGAAUUCCUAAGUUGGUGUAUGGCUUUAGGAAUUAACUAAACCAUUGAUCAUCACUAUCAUCAAUUCCCCACUAUCACAGUUGGUGUGUAUCUUAUAGGUAGCCUUACGAUUGGUGUGUAUCUUAGUGAGUUGGGUAACUAUCCAAUUAGAUCGCUAAGGUUAAACAAAUAUCUCAUCGCACACUCUCUCAAUUUAUUUCUUAAUUAUGAAGAUCAAAUGGAUAGCUAAUCUAGCCACAAUACUUAUCUUUAACAUAAUUCAAUUAUUAAUCCAUUAACCUACGAUUCAUUCACCACCACUUAGACAAUUAGUUCAUAUAGGGAAUCAAAUUAACCAUAAUCAAAAAUAAUAUAAACAUAAAUAACGUGUAACACCCAGACCCCAAUAAACCCGAAAUUAAGAAUGAAUAACAAAUUGAAUUGAAAGAAACCGCAAGCUGAUAACCUAUAUUGGAAGAAAUGGGAAAGCUAGAAACCGAAUUGGACAUGGUUAAGAUUCAAUUCUGGUUCGGUUAGGAUGAAACCGCUCUGUUCCUUAGUGGGAGACAUAAUAAUUAGCAAUGGACAGUGCUCAUGAGGUCGAUAAUAGAGCGGGAAAGGCUAUAAAUAGCUGGGAUAUAGCUCCCAAAGUUGAUUUUCUUUGCGGUUUUGUUUCAGUUUCUCCUAUUAUUCAUCUUCUUUGGUAGCUCGAAGAAGGUGUAGCCAUGGAAGGCUUUGUAUAGAGCAUGCUUCGUAAGGAUGGAGCUGAAAAAAUAAGGGAACUAGCAAGUGUAUAACAUUCCAAUUCUGGAGGAUAUAAAGUUUUAGGCGUAUAGCAGUAAGUAGUUUGUCUGUCGUGGUGUUAAUUAACCGCCACUUGAGUUAGUAAGAAUUUGAUUUCAUGAUAUUCUACUAUAUUAAGGAGACGUUCGUGUUAAGUGGUAAAACUCUAGAAUAACGUAUUUUUAUGUAUUAAUUAUGUAUUUAUUCUGAGUAUGAUCCUGCUAAUUUGAGCUAUUUAUGAUCUUUUAUCUCAUAGGGACUAAAUCUGAGGCAAAAGUAAAAUUAAGGGUCAAAAGUGUGAAUUUGGAGAUAAAAUGGGCCAAUGUGCGACACAAAAAAAAGUUGGUGCCAAAAGUGCAAGCAUGGAGGACACAAGGGUUGAAAUAUAAAAAGAAGAGAUUUUAUUCUAUCAAACUCUAAUUUAAUUAUAUUACGAUAAUUAAUAUUAAGAUAAUUAUUAAGGAUUAUCUAAUUUUAGGAUUUUAUUUUAUUUAUCUUUAUUUAUCUUCAAUUAAAUGAAUUUAUCUUUUGGGAAUUUAAGUAGGAUUAGACUAUCUCCCCUAGCACUAUAAAUAGGGGAUGAAGUGACUCAAAAGAGAUCCUAUCUUUUUCUGUAAACACUCUCUCCUCAAAAGUCUAGACUUUUGUUCUUCUCAUAUUUUCUUUCAAUAAAAUCUCCAUUUUUAUUUUAUUUAUUUUCUUUUUCACCACAACCAUGAGCCACUAAACCCAUCUAGCCAAAGGUUGUCGAAAAUCCCCAAAAGGGUUCAUGAGGCUUAGAAUCUGUACUUAGCCUUCUCAAUGAGUAUUCAUCGUUUCUCCACACUACGGGGCUGAUGCUUCCAUCCAUGUCCCUUAAGAAGUAAGCUUUUCAACGUAUGCAAAGGCGGCCACUUUGUAUGUUUUGGGAAGGUUGCACAGUUAGUUCGUUAGCUUACUGCAUCAGAGGUUGGCCAGCCCAAGAGACAAAAUGGCGUGGGAUUCGCCAUUGAGAAGCGUUGAUCUAGUAUAAGACGAUCCCACAGAAGCGAUUGUUAGCUAGAGUCAGGUUUCACCAAAUCGUAAGUCUAAAUCCUUGGAGCUGGUGGUCGUAGGCGCCCUCUUCCACUAUAACUGGCUUAUUCGGUUUGGGAAGGAUCAUCUAAAAGCCGAGAAUUGAACUCAAGGCGGAACGAGACAACUGGAGGCUGGAAUCUCCUAUAAGAAUUUUCUUUCUCUCAACUCUAUUUUUAAUUACUCGAAUUUUUUAUUCAAUAUUCUUAAUUUUGUUUUUUUAUUUUAUUUUUCAUUUCCAAGAUCCAAACAUUUAAUUCUAUUAUUUUUUGAUUUUUUAUUUUUUUUGCAAGAACGCAAGUUUUCUUGGGCAAGAUUCUGCCUAGGAUUUCACGGAACAAGAUAUUGUGCAAAUCCAGUCCCUGAGGAUUUGACCCUACUUCCCUUUUACUAUUCUUUUUCAUUAUUUAUUAGGGAUAAGAUAUUUUUGGUGCUUUCAAUGACCGCAUCAAAUUUUGGCGCCGUUGCCAGGGAUUGGCAACAUACGAAUCUUGUUUUUUGUUUCUUAUGACCAGAUCUGCUCCAGGUACUCUUGCGUUCGAUUCAUAAAUUGAGAAGACUGCUAGAGCCAAUCAUAAGGAAACAAAGUUACGGAAAAAACAGUCAGCGGUGGUUGAAACUCAAAGUAACCCACCGCUAGAAAUCGAAGCCGACGACAAAGCUGAGUCUAGGGUUAACGAAAACCCUACUCGAACACUUGAAAGCGAAAAAGUAGAAGUCGACUCACCAGAAGAAGUGUUUAACACUAGGGUUAACGAAAACCCAAAUCUAGCACACCAACAAAUAGCUCAAACGAUUCGGUAACUGGCCGAAGCUCCAACAGAACAACCGCCAUUGUGCAUCGCGUAUCCUACUAUGGAUAUUGAUUUUGAUUUAAAGUCAGGUUUAAUCCAGUUACUGCUAAAUUUUCAUGAGUUGCAAAAUGAAAAUCCCCACAAGCAUCUGAAAGAGUUUUAUAUGGUUUGUCUUAACAUGAAACUUCAAGGGGUAACUGAAGAUCAGAUUAAAUUGCGUGCUUUCCCUUUCUCCCUAGCAGAUUUCGCUAAGGAAUGGUUAUUUUAUUUACCCCCUGGAUCUAUUACAACUUGGGCUGAUCUAUCUCAUUUUUUUCUAAACAGGUUUUUUCCAGCGUCUCGAGCAGCAGAACUAAGAAGAGAGAUCGUUGGAAUAAGGCAAAAAGAAGCUGAGUCCCUUUACGAUUAUUAAGAACUGUUUAAGAAAUUGUGUGUAAGCUGCCCACAACAUGGUAUAACGGAGCAAUAUCUCCUCUAAUAUUUUUACGAAGGUUUAAAGCCCAUGGAAAUGAAUAUGGUAGAUGCCGCUAGUGGAGGAGCAUUGGUCAACAUGACUCCCCAACAAGUGAGAGACUUGAUCUCCACGAUGGCUACAAAUUCUCAAUAGUUUCGAGCCAAUACUGAACCCCCUAGAAGGGUUCACCAGUUAAGUAAUUCAACCUUAGAGGACAAAGUUAAUAGACUUACUAAUAUGAUGAACUCUCUUAUUGCAGAAAAAGCGAAGAUAGCCCGGUUAUGCGAAAUAUGUGCUACACCUGAUUAUGCAAUUGAUGUAUGUCCCAGUUUGUGUGAUAAUACCAUGGCCCAUCUGGAUGCUGUGAGAAAUUUCUCUGGGCUGCCACAAAGGCAGUACGACCCCUACACUAAUACCUACAACCAGGGUAGAGGGACCAUCCUAACUUAAGUUAUGGGGCCAAUCCACGAAAUAACCAGCCAUACCAAAAUCGGUUUCCGCAAUAGCCGCAAGGUUCAGGUAAUUUUCUAGAAACCAUGGUCAAUAAGUUAUCAACUAAUGUUCUUGAUUUUCAACAGCAAACUUUUAAUUUCCAAAAAGAGAUGAAGGAUUUCCAACAGAAAAUCGAGGCGUCCAUUAGAGAGUUGACCAUAUCGAUAGAAAAAUUGACCUAUCAAGGGAAGCUGUCAUCACAAACAGAACCAAACUCUAGACAAAAUGCAAAUGCAGUAACAUUGUAAAGCGGAAAGGUACUAGAAUCAAUUCCUGACAAGAAUCUUGGCCAAGAAAUCACCCAAGAAAAACUUGAAAAAGACGAACAGGUUCGACUGAAGCCUCCAUUGCCUAAUAUUCAACCUCUAUUUCUAGAACAAUUCAACCAGUGUCGAAGAGGUAAAGAGGACAAGAAAAUCCUCGAAACAUUUAGGAAUGUCGAGAUCAACAUUUUGCUGUUGGACGCCAUCAAGAAAAUAUCGCGGUAUGCUAAAUUUCUUAAAGAGAUUUGCACCAACAAGCGAAAAUUAAUAGGUAAUGAAAGGGUGAAUGUUAGUGAGAAUGUAUCCGUAGUGUUACAGCGGAAAAUGCCGACAAAAUACAAGGAUAGGGGCAUGUUUGUAAUAUCAUACAAAAUAGGUCAUCUGGGAAUUAAGAAGGCUAUGUGUGAUCUAGGGGCUUCUAUAAAUGUAAUGCCAUAUUCUAUUUAUGAAUCACUCAACGCGGGUUUUUUAACAAAAAUAGGUGUUAUCAUUCAAUUGGCGGAUAGGUCUGUUGUGCAUCUAGAAGGAGUCCUUGAGGAUGUUCUGGUAAAAGUUAAUGAGCUUAUUUUCCCUGCAGAUUUUUAUGUGAUCAAAAUGGAGGAGGAUAGCAUUCUUGGAUCUUUAGAUCUCCUGCUGGGUCGACCAUUCCUUAGUACAACUAGUACUAAAAUCGACGUUCGAAGUGGAACUCUCACGAUGGAGUUUGAUGGGGAGAUCGUAAAGUUUAAUAUCUACGAUGCCAUUAGCCAUCCAAGCGAAAUCUUGAGCGUAAAUUGUAUCGAUGUAAUUGACUCUUUGGUGGAAGAGAAUUUUGAGUCAAUUUAUGGAGAUAAUUAUGAACUUGAUGAAUUUGAAUUUGUUAAUGAGUUAUUAUCUCCAAAUACUAAACUGUUACCUUCUGUUAUACAGGAACCAGAGUUGGAGUUAGAACCCGCAAGAAAGACAGGGAAAUUAGACAUAUAAGAGUUAGAAGAAAUUCACAAUGAUACCUACGAGAAUGCUCGUAUUUAUAAAGACAAGACAAAAUUGUUUCACGAUAAGAGAAUAACUCAGAAGCAUUUUUCGGUAGGACAAAAGGUUUUACUUUAUAACUCCCAGUUAAAUUUAUUCCCAGGUAAGCUUCGAUCACGAUGGCAAGGACCUUUUAUUGUUACUGAAGUGUUCACACAUGGAGCGAUUGAAAUAGAGAGUGAAUGAAGAAUCUGGAAAGUGGUUCAUAGUCAAUGACCAGCGGUUGAAGCCAUUUUAUGAGAAUUUUCAAACUCACACGGUUGAGAAAAUCCAUUUGGAACCACCAUAGAACCAAUAACGGUGUCGAGCUAACGACAUCAAGCGCUUGUUGAGAAGUAACUCAAUUUUUAUUCUUAUUUUUUUAUUUAUUAUUUUUUCUUUACUUUAUUUAUUAUUUUAUUUUAUUAUUUAUUACUUAUUACUUAUUUGUAUAUUAAUAAAUUUCUCUUCUUUUGCUUAGAUAAAACAGAGCGAAAAUGUGAAGAAACCCGUUGAGCAACGCUUAAAGCGCAUUGAGGCCCGACUUGAAACCUUUGGCCAGCAACUGGCCGAGCUCAUUGCCAUCAUAUGUGAUCGAUAGUAACAACACAAUGAGUUUUCUUAACUUUUCUACCUAUUUGUUUCUUUUCGUCCACAUUGAGGACAAUGUGCUUUAAGUAGGGAGAGGUACUCUUCGUUAUUACUAUCAUUUUUUGCUGUAAUUUUGGUUGUUGCAGUGAUUAUUUUUGGCUGGUGUUGCUGCUUGAGGCUCCAUUUUGUCCAUAUUUAUUUUUUUAAAAACCUCCUGCCUCUUUUCAUGCCCAAGAUUUUUACCAAGAAUUGCCUAUUGUUUGACCUACAAGCAUGAUUCUUGUUUUCUGAGGAAAUUAUAGAUUUUCAUAAUUGAUGCCAUCUCCGCUAUUUUAUUCUUAUUAGGCUAAAAAUAAUUAUGAUUCAUAGAGUUAACUUUAUCUUGCUUUUCGUAAAAUUGAUCAAGUUUAAUACAAAGUGGACACUUAAUAUGUUUGUCUGCUAAAAUAUGUUCAUGAUUAAUAAGGUAAUUACUGAAACUUAUUUUUGACACUUGAUUAUUUUUUUCUCUAAAGUCCUCAAAAAAAGUUAUUAUUAAAAUGUCGUUUAAUGUUUCUGUGGUUAUGAGUGCAGCUUAAAAACGUGACUGACUGAGUAACCGAAGUAGGGUGCUUGGGUUGUCAUCCUAUUUUGCGUCAAAAGGUUGUGUGACGUGUUAGGUAAAACUCUGCUAACCGGAAUUAAUUUUUAAGAACAUGUUGGGCUGAGUAACCGGGGUGAGGUCAUUGGCUGUCAUCUCUCUUCGAGUCAAAAGGUUUGAUGUGUUCUUAAGAAAAAAAUUAUAAUAAAUUAGGAGUCUACUGGGCUGAGUAACCGGGGUGGGGUGCUUGGCUGUCAUCUCUCUUCGCGUCAAAAGGUUCAGUAUAUUCAAAAAGCAUAAUAAUAAUAAAAGAAAAAAAAUAUAAUUUGGAGACUAAAGGAGGAAACAAAUAGGGUGUCUUGGUAGGUUUGGUAAUCUACCUAAUUUUCAUUAAGUAAUUCAAGUCGAUUCUAAUUUUUGUGUGUAUUAAUUGGAAAACUUUUUCUGUUUUACUUAAAGCAAGCUUAGGGUUCUCUUUAUUUUUUAUAUGCAUUUUUUACUGAUUUUUAUAAAACUUUGGAGUGGUAUUUCUUUUAUGGCAGAAUCUAACUUUCACAGUAGAUAGGAACCAUACUUGAGGGGAAGCAUGGGCUAAGUAGGGGGAAUUUGAUAACACUCUAGAAUAACGUAUUUUUAUGUAUUAAUUAUGUAUUUAUUCUGAGUAUGAUCCUACUAAUUUGAGCUAUUUAUGAUCUUUUAUCUCAUAGGGAUUAAAUUAAAUUUGAGGCAAAAGCAAAAUUAAGGAUAAUUAAUAUUAGGAUAAUUAAUAUUAAGAUAAUUAUUAAGGAUUAUCUAAUUUUAGGAUUUUAUUUUAUUUAUCUUUAUUUAUCUUCAAUUAAAUGUAUUUAUCUUUUGGGAAUUUAAGUAGAUUUAGACUAUCUCCCCUAGCACUAUAAAUAGGGGGUGAAGUGACUCAAAAGUGAUCUCAUCUUUUUCUGUAAACACUCUCUCCCUAAAAGUCUAGGCUUUUGUUCUUCUCAUAUUUUCUUUCAAUAAAAUCUCCAUUUUUAUUUUAUUUAUUUUCUUUUUCACCACAACCAUGAGCCACUAAACCCAUCUAGCCAAAAGUUAUCGAAAAUCCCCAAAAGGGUUCAUGAGGCUUAGAAUUCGUACUUAGCCUUCUCAACGAGUAUUCAUCGUUUCUCCGCACUACGAGGCUGACGCUUCCGUCCAUGUCCCUUAAGAAGUAAGCUUUUUAACAUAUGCAAAUGCGGCCGCUUUGUAUGUGUUGGGAAGGUUGCACAGUCAGUUUGUUAGCUUACUGCAUCAGAGGUUGGCGAGCCCAAGAGACAAAAUGGCGUGGGAUUUGCCAUUGAGAAGCGUUGAUCUAGCAUAAGACGAUCCCACAGAAGCGAUUGUUGGCUAGAGUCAGGUUCCACCAAAUCGUAAGUCUAAAUCCUUGGAGAUGGUGGUCGUAGGCAUCCUCUUCCACUAUAACUGGCUUAUUCGGUUUGGGAAGGAUCAUCUAAAAGCUGAAGAUUGAACCCAAGGCAGAAUGAGACAACUGGAGGCUGGAAUCUCCCAUAAGAAUUUUCUUUCUCUCAACUCUAUUUUUAAUUACUUGAAUUUUUUAUUCAAUAUUCUUAAUUCUGUUUUUAUUUUAUUUUUCGUUUCCAAGAUCCAAACCUUUAAUUCUAUUUUUUAUUUUUUUAUUUUUUUUCCGAAACGUAAGUUUUCUUGGGCAAAAUUCUGCCUGAGAUUUCACGGAUCAAGACAUUAUGCAAAUCCAGUCCCUGAGGAUUUGACCCUACUUCCCUUUUACUAUUCUUUUUCAUUAUUUAUUAGGGAUAGGAUAUUUUUGGUGCUUUCAACGACCGCAUCAUUAAGGGAUAAAAGGGAAAUAUGGGAUGAGUAUUCGCCAAAGGUAUAGUACGUUUGGUUUGUAUGGAAUACUAUGCUAGUUAGACUUUAAGUAAUCUGGUUAUAAACCAACUAUAUAGUUUAGCCUGAUAAGUCUAGUGAAGGGAACUUAUUUAUAUUAUUCCUCAAAAACUGUAGGCCAAUAAAAAGGCAAGUUCUGAUACGUAUGAAACUUGUUAUAUUCCACUAAGCAAGAUGAGUCAUAUUUAUAUGUGAAAGUGUGUUCUGAAAGGGGUUUUUCUUCCUCUUCGUUAAGUGGAAAUUAUUGAUACCUUCCUUAAGUUUAGAUGUAUCUCUUUAUUGAUAAUCUAGAAGCUAAGAUUACGUUAUGAUCAGUGGCUACUCCAUUGAUAUGUAGGUAUUACUAUUCUGCAUGUUAAAUUCUGAAGGAGUAACUUUGUAAGAGGUGCAUGAACGGUAAGAUGUAAGUAUAAGGCUUUGCAUGGGAGUUGUCAGUGCUUGAAUUGACUGUAAAUUGUAUACGAAUGAGUCUUAAUAAUGUUCUUAUGUUCUGAAAGUAGUGAUUAUAACUUGUUCGAGAUUGAUAUCUGAAUUUAGAGUUUUGCACUACCAUUAGUGAGAAUCAUAUUAGUUUUAUGCUGACUCCUGUAUGUAUAUUGCUUUUAUCAAGAGAUACCUAUAGGAAAUUGAUUGAAUUAUGAUUUUGAAACUAUGAAAAGUAUAGUGUGUAUAUGGGUAGUGAAUCUGAUAAUUUCAUGUAUGUGAUGAUUGGUGUAUGAAUACUGAAAUGUUAAAGUAUGGUUGUGUAUAUAUAUGUCUAGAAUGUAUACAAUGAUAUGUAUGUUUUGUUGGGUGUAUGUUAGUGCAUUAAAAUGUUGGGCUUAGAGUGUGUCAAUGCAUGAAGAGUCUGUAAAGUGAGUCUGUGUCUAGUCACCGCGGUGGUAUCUGAUGAAAUUCGUCAUGACAAAAAACAUGAAUUCUAAUAUGAAACUCUGAAAGAAAGUCUAUGGCCAAGGCACUCUCUGAAAAAAGAACUAAGGAAUGGUGAUUACCCAAUGAGGUUCUUUGCAUGUCCUAGGACGAUAACAGGCAAACCUCACGUAUUGUGAGUUUAGGCAAAUUCAUAUCGUAAACACGAUAACUAAGAAUAGCCUUUGUGGCGAACUUUGAAAGAAAUGUCUUUGUGGCGAAUUUUGAAUGGAACGCCUUGGUGCUGUACUCUAUAUGAUUGCCUGUGUGGCAUGUUCUGUUAGGCCUAUAUUGUGUAAAUUGUCAGGGAUGUCAGGUAAAAUCUGAAUCUGAAUGUCUAUCUCUAUUGUAAGGUAUGAGUAAAUUCUUUUAGUUUUGUCAUAAGUAAAGCUAAGGUGAAAUAUUGAUAUGUUCUGGGUUAUGAGGGACUAAGUCUUAAGGGUUUUUCAUGAAAAAGAAAUGUGUAUCUGUAUGUCAAGAAGGAUAUUCGUUAUUAUGAUCUGUAAAUAUAGAAAGUGGGGUAUUUUAUCUUCUUCUAAAAUUAUUUUGAAUCAAAGUUAAUGUUAUCUUAAAUUAUGGGAUUUUGAUAUAUCAUGUCAUGGAAUUCGUCAAAGUGGUCUAUGCAAUGAUUUAUCAGUAAGGAUAUGUGUGGUACUAAAUCAAGAUAUGACUGAGUAUAAAUUGAUAGUAUUAUAUUCUACAUAAGUAUUCGCCAAGCAUAUAUGAAUAUCCGCCUGUGAUAAAUGUCAGUGAAUAACUGCUUGAAAUAAGAAUAUGGGUUAAGGCAUGGAUUGUUGAAAGUGUUUUCUGAGGGUAUAUUUUGUUAAGAAAGUAUUAUGGGACAAGAGAUUUAUGAAACGAUUGGAAGUAUUGUCCAGUUAAUUAGAUAGGAAAGAUUAAGUAUAAUAAGGGUAUGAUAAUUGACAUAUACAAGAGUGAUAAGACCGCAUGGUAUCAGUCGAAGUAAAUGAUGUAGAGUAGUAGUUUACUCAUAGAAAUUCCUACAUGAUUGCAAAGCAUCCAUCAAGGUAUGGUUCAUGAGCUCACUAAGUACUCUUGUACUUACAAAAUUUCUUAUUUCUUUUCAGGUAAUUGAGAAAAGACUUCGCCUGAAGGGGUAACGUCAAGAGUUCGCCAAGAUGGUGGCGAAGUGGGCUAUUAUGCAUAUUAGUGGAGCUGUGGCAUAGUCUAGGAAUACGCCAUUCGAGUCUGUGAUAAAUAAAUUUCCAUUUUGUAAUGAUAUAAUUCGAGUCUGUUGUAAUUAAAUUUAUUUUAAACACAUCCCCUUUUUUUAUUGUAAUAAGUUUUUGAUUAAAAUGCCACAGUACAUGUUUAAGAAAUAGGUAAUUGUAAAUUGUCAUUAUUAAUAUGUGAGUUUUGUGUGGUAACACCCAAACCCGAACUCAAUGAAUCGGGUUGGUAGAGGGCGUUAAAAGUUUGGUAUUAGACCCCGAUUGAGUAGUUAAAUCAAAAAAAUCGUUAAUUCUACUAUAUGGACUAAAUUAAAAAGGAUAACAAGUUUUUUUUUUGAAAAAAAAAAGAGGAUAGCAAGUUAGUUAAUAAAUGAGAGGGACUUAUGUAGCAAUUUGGCUUGACUUUAAAAUCAACUAAACCAAAAUUAAUUUAGUGGUGGUGGCCAACAUUUAAGUGAACCGUUAGAUUCCACUAAUUGUUUUCAUGAAUGAAUAUUAACCAUUGAUCUUUAAUUAUUAAACUUUUUAAUUAAAUAAAAGUUUUAAUUAUAAGUUAGUGGACGAGAGACACAAUAGUUAGCUUAGUUAAUCUCAUCUCAUCUCUACUAGUUCUCUUAAGGAAAUAAAAGAAAACUUUCUCCUAAAACAUUUUCACCAAUGUUGUAAGCUUCCAAGGCUAGAUUGGUAAGUUUUUUUUUCAAUUCACGGUGAAUUAUUAGAUUUAAGUAGUUGUUACUCAAGACCAAAUUAUUUGUUUAAAGAAUUACUAAUAUUUAGUUAAGUUUUAUUGAUGGAAUUCAUGAUAGAUCAGUAAAAGAACAAAAGAACUUUUGAUGAAAUUGAGUUAUAAUAUUAGUAAGGUAAUGGGUGUUGUAGGAAUAAGCUUGAAUUUAAGCUUAAAGACUUUGAAAUUAUUGUUGAACAUUAGUGACCAAAUUGAAUAAAUUGAAAGCUGUUAGAAAAUAAUGUCAAGGAUUGGAAGUUAGAGGUACCAAGUGAAGAAAUAUAAAAUCGAUUUUUGAUUUGAUAAAGAGAACAAAGAAUUACAAGCAUUUUGAAUAUUAGGGCUUAUAGGGACAAAAAUGAAUAAAAUAUAUUCAUGUCUAUGUUGUUAUGAUCUAUGUUUGAAUUGCAUGAUUGAUGAAUUUUUUGUAUUCGGAUUUAAUUUUUGUAGCUAAAGACGAUGUAGGACCUUUACGGGACAAAAAGAAAUCUAAAUCCGUUAACGAAUAAUCACUUCUGAUUUGUACUCUCAUAUUUCGAGUUCAUUAAAUAAUUGUGCGUGUUUAACUCGUCAAGUGGACGAGGAUAGUAAACUGUUGAUGUAGAUGUAUUUGAAAGGUAUGUAGACACCUUAUUAUGUUAUAUGUGAUCAUUGGUAUAUUGAUUGAAAAUUUCCCUAUUAACACUAUUGAAUAGAGUUACGGGUAUAGUUGACAUGCCAUAAGAUCCGUUUUGAUAGGUGGGAGAUUCAGCAUAUGUGUGUAUAUAUAUUGUGAUAGUUCUCUAAUUCACUUGGGGUUGAGAACAUAACACUAGCUCAAAUUCUCUGAAGGUACGAGUGUAUUCUGAUGUGAUCGGUGGGAUCGGUGUAUUUAUGCCCGACCAGCACUUCGGUGCAUAUAUUGGUGUGAUAGUGGAUUGAUCCGAGUAUCUGUCCUUAAGCCCGAUUUUGUUAAUAGGGAUUAAAAUGUAAAAAUUAUAUGUUGAAUGCUUAUAUUAUUGAAAUGUGAUAAUGAUGUUUAUAUGAUAUAUGACAUUAAUAUGGUAAAAUAGAUGCAAAUACCCUGAGGAUGCAUCGAAACUAUGUGAUUUGAAAACAAGUAAAAUGUUGAUAUAAACAUGAUCGAAUGUUAAAUGGUCAUGAAUCUUUUAAGGGUCUAAUUAUUCUCAGGUGUAUACGUAUUAAUGAUGAUAAUAUUGAAAUAGUUAUUGAUUAUCAUAUUUAAUCUUGUUAUUUAGUAUGUUUAUUUGAUUCUAUUAUGUUUAUAUUUGAAUUUGAAUUAUGUUAGCACCACUAAGUAUGCAUUACUUAGCAUACGGUUUUGUUUGUUUCCGUGCAUAGGUCUUGGACGAGAGUGAUAGUAGAUUAGAAGUCAUAAAGCAUCCAACUCAGCAGCUCUGCUCGGAAAUCAUCUUGUGCCUAUUUUGUAUGUAUAUAUAUGUUUUGGUUAAAUGGCAUGUACUUAGGUUGGUUUGAGCAUGUUGCUUACGUUAAUGUUUUAGUACUUUUGGUAUCAUGACCUACAAUGUUUUGAGUGGUGAGUUUCAUCUUUCGAUUUAAAGAUAAUUAUGCAUGUUUAUAAGUAUUCGAUUGCAUAAUUAAUUUGAUUAUACAUUGAUGAAAUGGAUGUUAGGAUUUGUUAGUGAUUGGAUGUGUUUCUAUAUGUUGGAUUGAUGAUUUUGCAUUGAUGUAACAUUUAGGUAUUUUUUAGGUACAAUUUGGUAUGGCUUAGAUGCUUAAAAAUGGUCAUUUAGGGUCAUUUUACCAUUUAGUCUCGAGACAGUAUGAACAUCUCUCGAAACCAUUAGAACCAUUAGAACAAAAUUUACCAUUUGGUGCUUAAGGUCUUGAAACUUACCAAGCAGAUAUCAAGACAAUUCCACUUAGGUCUCAUGACAGAGUGGCCUUUGUCUCAAGACAAGGGCACAUCGAAGCUAAAAUAAUUUUGUCCUAUUCCAGGUCUGGAGACAAUUUUUGUCUCGAAAGAACCAAACAUCGAAGCUAAAAUAAGAAAACAAGAGAGGUUUCUCUUGAGAUUAGUCUCGAGACUUGAAAGGUUUUAUCUCAAGACAUAGACCUUAUGGUCUCUGACCGCCUCCGGGCGUACUAACGUCCAGAGUGUAAAUACUGCAAUUAAAUAUAUGAAAUUGAGGCAGUGUCCACAAGUAUACAGGUCAGGUUGUAAUAUACUUUACAACGGAAUUGGUAAGUACUCCGAGGAUCGUAUCCAAUAGAGGUGAGUACUAAAUUAAUAUUAAUCUAAACAUAAAUAAAAAAAAUUAUUACUUUAGAUAAAUUAUAUUACGAUAAAACAUAAAGUGGAAAAUAGUUUUGGGUUUUAUACUAAAAUAAAUAAUCAUGCAAAAUAAAGUGAACACAGAAAACUAAGAUGUAAUUCAACCAAAUCUAAGUAUGGGUGAUUAGCUCGCUUCGGUGGUAAUAAUUAAUUCCUAUUUUAGGUCUCUACUCAAUCAACUAGUCGUUACCCUAGAAGAAUCUCUUGAUCUCCUACUAAGCUAACAAGUCGAGAAGAACUACUUAUCUCUUGACCUCUCAGUCCAAACCAGAUAGGGAUAAGGGGUUCACAGAUAAGCAAUAUCAAUUUUGGGUUAAUUCUCACCUAAAUGACUUCUUAGGGUUGUCAGGCCUAGUGUUUAAGUUUUUCCUAUCCCAAAUAGUUGAUCCUCUAAGAAAACCCUACAUAGAACUUAAUUAAUCACACUUCCACUCGCUAAUCCCCUAUAAGAGGAUUAGUUCCUCAUGGAUUUCAUAAACAAUGUAAAGUUGAUAAAAUAAAUAAGCAUUAUGAACGAAUUAAGAAUAAAAGUUUAAGAAGAAAUUAUGAUUGUAUUGAAUAUUUGAAGUGCAGAAUUCUAUAGAGUUUGUGUUGAAUCUACAAAUCAGCUCUUUUGAUUAACACGAAUGAAAACAACUGGAAAUAAAUCGUAAGUCUAAAAAGAACUAAAAACUGAAAACUAAACUAAAAAAAAUUCUAAGUUACAAAAGUGGUCCUUUCUCAAGUGUCUUAUGAGUCUAUUUAUAGUGUUAGGGUUGGUCGUCGUCCUUAGCCCUAGGACAAUUGAUGUUUUUACGUUAAUUUUCAUUGUGCAAACCAAAACGCCCUCAGCUGGUAAUUUCUUCCCAUGUAGGGCUAGUGUCAUGACAUCUAGUACCUGUGUCGCGACAUUGAAUGCAGUUUGCUUGGCUGAAGUUUAGAUUCAGGGGUGUGUCGCGACACCAAAGGCAGUUUUGGAAUUUUGGCACUCUAUUCACUAUGUUGUGACAUUGAACUUUCGUUUAGCAACAUGGCAACCAGCCUCGAGCUCUCAUACCUUUGGAUAGUGUCUUGCACACUCACUAAGUACGCUAAACCCUCCGUCUCGAGACAUGAAGAUUCCUGGCUCGAGACACUAUGUUGAAAUUUGAUAAAAAGAGUUGGACUCGAAUCCCAACCAUGUUAUAACCUCCAUACAUCUUCUGAAUACAUAGCAUGGGAUUAAUGUUCAUGCAUUGAAUUAAUUUGUGUGUAUACACUGAUAAAUUAUUUAAUUGAAUGUCAUGUUGCUUGUCAUUUGUGAUAGAGUCAGAUUGAGUUACUUUGACAACGUAAUGUGAUGUCACACAUUUGGAUUUGACGACCGGGCUGGGUGUGGGGUGUCACACAAUGUGCACGUCUUUGGUUGGGUACUUUGCAUUUCUUUCAUAUUUGCUCGCUUGUUUCGCCUCCAUUUGUGUUCGAUCAUGCAUUUCAAGCUCGAAUUAAUCUCAAUAAAAGUCAUAAACUCAUUUUGAAAGCAUCUAAUGCUAAAAAAAAAAAAAGUAAAAACUAGUAAAAAUGCAUAAAAGUAAAUACAAUCAACUCUCUCAAUAAUAGUAACCCUCUAUAAUAACAUUUUGUUAUAACAACAAUGUUUAUUCUAACCAAAGUUAUUAUAUUUUAUUUUUACAUUAUAUAACAGCUUUCAUAGUAAUAGUCAUAAAGUAUGAAAUACAUUAUUUAUUAAAUUAAUUGUUUAUAAUAGUUUUAUUUUUCUUAAAUUUUAGUAAAAUUAAUUUUAAUCUUAAGUGAAUUAAAAUUAAUAAAUUUUAUAUAAAAUAUUUAUUAAUCUUAUUUUAUUAAAUGAAUAAAUAAUUAAAUUUAUAAAUUUUAUUAAAGUACAGCUUAAGUUUUAUUAAUUUGAAAUUUUAAAAGUUUCAGAUAUGAUGUAAAUGUUAUCAUACGUUUUUACAAGCUUAUAAUAACCACAUCUUUAGAACAUUAAAAAUUUUGACAAAUAAAUGAAAUGUUAUAUAGAAGAUUAGCCGUAUGAUGCAAAAUUAGGUAAAUGUACUAUACUUCACUCCGAAAUCAGAAAUUUACUAAAAUCAAAGUGAAAAGAGUAAUUACAUUUUGGAUUAUUCACUGCAAUGCAUUGUGGUAUUUGCGAAGUUAUUACCAUCUUUACUGGUAUAACUUAAUUGAGUACCAAACACCCACUAGCAUACUGCUGAAAUUUACAGUUCCUAAUGAAAUCUGUCAAUGGUGAAUUAUGGUGAGGCUCAAUAAGCAUCUCAUACUCUUUCCACCAUUGCAUAAAACUGCUACCUUUCAAGAAAAUUUCAGAGGACACUGCAUAUUUCUUGAUUUGUUCCAUAACAUAAACCUCAAAUUCCAUCAGUUUCUGCCUCAAACACACCCUCUCUGAGAUCAUACCAACAUCAGCUGUCUUCAAUGAUUUGCACCAUAGCCGGGCUUCUUCGACAUGAGCCCAAAAGCAAGAAUCAUCUGUUAGAAUAACAUCCACAUUUUGUUUCUUGGUAUCGAUCCGAAAUCUGCUUUGUUUCUCGUCUUCUUCAAGCCAUUGCUGUAACUUGAUAUAAUGAUGUGAUCUGCCAGUAGUCACAUAGUUGCUUCCAUUAUCUCUGUAGUAGUCAGCUAUGUCAAGUGGCUCAACCAUUCUCCGAUAGGUCGUACCAGCAUACAACCACCGUGAUCGGAGGUAAACCAGUUGUUUCUGAGGUUUCCUCUCAUUUUGUGCAACGACUUCUUUCCAGUAGUUUGUGAGGAACUUCUUGUGCUUGAUGACAUCGCGAUCCCGCCGACUGAGUUGCUUCUUGUAACAAUCAUAGUAACCUGUUUCAUUAGCCUUAGCAACCUUCUUAUACCAUUCUAGUUCAGCCAUUUUUAUUUUUAUGACAUUUAAUUUCUUUGCAGGGUCAAAUGCUUUUCCCUUGUUGAACAGACAUAUCUCUUCCAAUUCCUCCAGUUUCUUGAUCAACAGCUACUCGAAUUCAAUGCAAGUUCAGAUCAUAGAAAGUAUGUUACUCGGCCUGGCUUAUACGUAAUAUAUAAAGAUAUGCAUGAAGAUCGAAACAAGUUUGAUCUACCUGUUCAUUUCGGAUUCUAAUUGCUUCUGUUUGCAAAGUUGUUCCAGCUCGAAGUGAAUUCAGAAUUGAUUCAUUAACCUGUGAGAUACCUUUCCGGACUAUCAUCGACUCGAGUUGUUCAAUAAUCCUGCUGUAAACAUUAAUUGUCCAUUCUUCAUUACCGGCAUCUUCCGUUUCUACUGCCAUUAGUAGCUCAGAGACAGCUUCAGGGUUCUCAGACCAAGUACAUCCAUCUUCACAACAUAAAAGAAAGGUACCAAAAGGCUUAUAAUCAUCAGAUUUUGAAUCUAAAUCCAUGGAGUUAAGAUCACGGGGAGCAAUGAAAAGUCUUGGAAUGGAAUCUUUGCUUGUUGCAGCAACAUGGAGGAAACAAGAAUUCCAUGCAGGAUGUUGUGAAAUGGCUUGUUGAAACCCUUUAUCACCGACGAGCGGUGAGCCGAACGUGAGACAAAGGGGUCGUUUAGCCAACGAUAUAUCGAGGCUUUCGAGCAGCCAUAAGGUGAAGAGUGAAGCAACUGAUCCUCCUAAAGAAUGUCCAGUUACAAUUAAGCUAUUGGAAUUCCUUCCACACUGCAUCAAUUAGAGGUAGUAACUUGGAAAUAAUUAAAGCCUAAGAUAGCUGGCAAAACUUUGAUUUAUGAUCAUGUAGUUCCUCUACAACAGAUUAAUAUUCACAGUCAACCAUACCAUAUCUAUGGUCAGGUUGUCAAAUGCAAGACUUAUAAAAUUGAACUUAUAACCAGUAAAAGCACCAUAAAGAACCUCGUAUUAGGGGUCGGAUUGCAUUUUGGUCCCUCUACUAAAAAAAUGAGCAAAUUAGUCCAUGUACAUUAGAUCAAACAGUAAAUAGUCAUUCUAUUAAAAAUUUCAUCUAUUUUUACUGUUAAAAAUUGGUCCAUCAGCAAUGUCAGUUUUUAACAGUAAAUGGAUGAAGUAUUUAACAAAAAUGACUGGUCAGUUUUUUUAUCUAAGUAUAGGAAUUAAUUUACCCAUGUUUGAGUAAAAGAGAGAGAAUGCAAUCUAACUCUUAAUAAUAGUGUUUCCAUAGUAUUUUUGCAACUUAUAACAUGCUAGCUAGAUUGACUCUUAGAUUUUUCUUGAAGUACAUGGAUGACGGAGAUAUGGCCUUUAAGCGGAAAAUUUAGAAAAAUAUAACCAAUUUAAAAAAGGACUAUAUAGAGCAAGAAUUAAGGAAUUAGAAAGACACUAACCUCAGCUUUCAAUUGCAAGAGCUCAUGAAAGUGAUCAGCAAAGAGAGCAAUUGCAGCUUUAUGAAUAGAGAAAGAGUUGCCAUUGUUGCAGAGGAAUUCAAAGACUGGAAAACUCUCCUUAAAAGCUGUGGAAGAAACCAGUUGUUUUGAAUCUUGAAGAUGAGAUUUGGUACAAAUAGGAGAUGUGGUGAAAACAAGGAUGUUAAUAUUAGCUUGUUGAUAAGCUUUCCAUUUUAUUGAUAACCCCAAAUUUUGGAGCUCAUUUAGAUUGAAUCCACCAUAACAGUCUAAGAUUUUAGCCCAUGAAAGUUUGAGCAACCCAGAGCUGACCACGAAAUUAGCAACCUCUAAUCCACUGCAGAAUCUGUAGUUUCAGAACACAAAAUAAAGUAAAACAAUCCAUCAAAAACACGAGGGAAAAAAAGGAAUGAAAAUUUACUUACAAUUGGUUCAUCUGGCUUGCCAUUGACUUGAUCCUUGGUUUGUAUAAUGGGAAGAGAGAGCUUUAUUUGAGAGAGUAAAUAAAAUAAUCAUAAUUAUAUUAACUAAAGUCUAUGGGUCUUGUCCUUGUGGGGUUCUUCGUGGUCAAAGUUGAGCAGCUUUGGGGAUGUUAAGUCCGGGAAAAUGGCAAUGUCCCCAUCAAUGAAAAUGCUACGAAAUGAGUGUGCAGUAAACGUUUGUUUUUCCAUUCUAAUUUCUUUUGAGGGUCAUAGUUUUGAUCCCAACACUUUUUCAGUUUGAUGUGCUUUAAAUUGAUUAAUUUUUGUAUGUUAUUCGAUUUUUUCUAUUGAAAAUUAACUUAACUAACAAAAAAAAAAAACUAUAAAUUUUGAUUUACCUUUUAUCCAACUUAAUAUUUUAUUUUAUUUUUUAAACGAAUCUUUAAAUUUCACGUUUCACGCGGUCUGCUUUAUGAAUUCAAAGAUUCCAAAUUUUCUAUCCAACCAAAAAUAAAGUGUUACACAUUACUUAAAACAAUAUCAAAUUAUAUUUUGUCAUUUUUUUACUCAAAAAGAUUAAUAAUAAAGUCUUUUUUGUUAAAAAUUUCAUCAAUUUAUACUAUUAAAAGCUUACGUGACUAAUAAAAUAACAAAACAAUAGCACAUGUUAUGCCGCAUAUAUCUCAUACUGACACAUAAAAACUAAUUUUUAACAACAAAAAUAGAUGAAACUUUUAACAUACAAAAACAAAUUUACGAAGAAACAAAAUACAAUCCAACCCAACCUACUGUUAGAUAAAAGUUACGGUAGUCAAUGUCUUGGUCAUGAUAGUUUACACUCUAUGGGCACCAGUCAAUAGAUAAUGUUUCAGACCUAUAUAUUAAUUAAUAAUUUUAAAAUUUAUAUUUACAUGUAUAUAUAUUUAUUAAUAUGUAUGUAAUUGAAAUAUAAUUGCAGCUAUAUGAAAUAUACCCUAUUAAAAAAAACUAAAAUUUAGACUCUCUCUCUCUCUAUAUGAAAAUAAAUUUAAAAAUAUCAAUAAACUCAAAUUGGCAGCCUUGGUAGAUGCAAGUCAUAUGGUUCAAAUUGCCGAAAACAAAGGAAAAAGUCUCAAGGUAAACGGCUUCACUAUCACAAGCAAACUUCAAUUUCAAAAAAAAAAAAAAAGAUUCAAUAUCACUUGGAAAAUCCCAUGAAUCUUAUUUUCUCAAAGCUAACAGCAAGCAUAUUGUGAAAUGGAAGAAACAAAAUUUUCAUCCAUGGCUGAUGAACCAAAGGCCUCGAAAGCCAUAGAAUCUGAGAAACUAAAUGCUUUUACCUUGGUAAUAAAUUUGGCUAGCUAUUUAUAAUGCUAAUGAGUUCUGGUUUCUCGUGAAUCACAUUACUUUUCGGGAAUCUCGACUCCCUGAUCUGAUUUCAAUGUCUUUCGUGUAUAUAUUUGUGAGAGCAAAAAGUAGCAGCACAAACACAACUUGGGCACUCAUGAUUCCGAAAUGGCUAAUGCUAUUACCAAUUUCCAUCCAGCUCCCCGUGUUCUUCACCUGUUAAAAAGCCGAUUACCAAACCAGUAAGGCCCUCAGGAAAUAACUAUAACCACAGGUGAUUUCACAUAAUUUCCUUACUUUCAAGCAAAGCAAGGUUCAAAAAUGGCUAAAACAUCAAUCAAUAGAAUCGGCUGCGCCAAACUUUAUUUCUGAAAAAGUUUAAUACCAGAAAGAAGAAGUGGACUGUCAUCACGUCUGAACAAAGAAUAACGAGGAAGUAGCAUCCUAUUCUUGGAACUUCGAGUAGUUUGGUUAUUGCACUGAAUGCACAUCUGUGUUUCUCAAAGAACAAACAGAACCAUGUUUAUAGUUAACUACUAUAUUCCAGCAUAUAUCGAUACAAACUUGCAUUCUUUACUAGUGACAUUGUUAUAUAAGCUUAACUUAAAAUGGGAAACCGAGACUAAAUAUGUCACCUUAACCGAUGAUAAUCUUUAUAGCAGAUUAAAGACGAUUCACUCAUUCGGUGUUUCAGGGAGUUUUGAAACCACGAUGAAGUUUCUAAAGCUAAGGUGCAAUAGUUAAUGAAACUUCAUAAAAAUGUGAUUGAAUGUAUUAAUAGCCCAUAGAUGCAAAAGUCACAUAGCAUCAUGGCUAAAAACCGAUGGUCAAGCCAGUUUCGUUGAAGAAUCAUUGAUCAUUCUAACAUUUCUUUUAAAUUCGAAAAACUUACAUAACAAGCAGGAAUGGUAUGAAUAACUUGAAGAUGAGGAGUCCUGCCAUCAGAAAGGGCUGCAAUUGGAAGUAAUUCAGUUUGGCUUACAAGAAGAAACAGUAAAAGAUAUAUAGGUAGUUUAACCGUUACUUACACUAAAAACAGUGAUGAACCUGUAGACUGAUGAAAUCUCGAAACUAGCUAUACUUGCGAAAUUUCCCGUCCCAAAGAAGGCCACGUUAAAUAAGACCAUCUACCAAAGACAGUUCGUCAGCACUAUGUAAAUUACAAACUGUAAAAUCCUCUAAACUAAGCAAAUCUAUGUUGCUCCAACUCUUUAUUUUUCUUUAAGUACCCAUGUUUAUGACUUGUGUCUGAUAUAUGGUUACAGGGACAACCUCUAAGACCCUAUAUAAAUAUAUAAAAAAUAAUUAUAAAAAACUUGACCAUACCCAUGUCGGACACAUAUCAUAGUCAACACUCACACCCAAGUAUGAGUAACAUAAACUGCCUAUAGCAAUCUGCUCCUUAAAAGAAAUAACAAUAAAACAGAUAGAGAAAGAUGACUUACAAAGGUUAAAGGUAUUCUCAUAUCAGACAGCUGCAAAUAUCGAGUAUCAUUUUCAAGGAAGGCAUGUUCCCCCAAGUUCUUUCCAGAAGCAGAAGAUUUGUUCACCUUACGCACGUAGAGAAGCGAGUUUUCAAAUAGUAUCCAUGCAAUUAGCACAAGACCAAGCGCACCAUAGAAGACAGCUUCAUAUCUGCACGGGUUUGAAAACAAAGGGCAACAAAUCAUAUCAUGCCUCAAUUGAGCAUUACGAUAACACAAGUUUAAGAUGAGAUCUACCCAAUAGAUAAUAGAAGGAACGGUGGUGCAAAACCAAGAAAUAUAGAAUUGAGCCUGGACAAGAGGCCAUUUUCUGAAAACAAUGGGAGAAUCAUCGAGAAACCUGAAAAAAAAAAAAACAAAUAUUUUAGGGACACAAUUGAUGGAAGAUAAUGUAAGCUUUUACUAAUGCAUGAUUCAAUGUAAUUUGUGUCGUUAUGACCUAGAGUCAGCAGUUUCAACUUGCAAUAUUAUAUAACGAGCAGCCAUUGGCAAGCGCAAGAUCUAUGGAAGAGGAGUGAAGCCCUCAAUAGACGUAUAUGUGGGUGCAUGUUACUCCGACUCUUUAAUGUUGGAGUACUCAUGUAUGUCCAACACCCAUGUUUGAUGCAUAUCUGGACAUGAGGUACAAGGAUACGACCCUCCCAAUACACCCAAAAAAAAAAAAGAAAAACAUGAAAGAAAAAAUUGAACAUACCUGUGUCGGGCACAUACCUAUAUCUGACAUUCACACUUGAGUCCAAGUAACACAUGAAGAUUAUAUAUAUUACAAAAGCCACGGUUUUUCAUUUUGGGAAUUUAACAAAAAUCAAUUGUUUUCAGUACCUACAGCCAUUUAAUCAAAUGCCAAUAUACAUCAUAUGCACAAGUUUGACGUGGAAACAACAUUUGACCAAGAAUGAGGUAGCAUUUUGAUGUAUUUCAAACAGAAAUUAAGAAACAUAAAAUUAGCAUCAGAAUGUGAGGAAGAUGGUCUUAAAAGUCUCCAAUUCAGGUUAAGAAACAUAGUUUCUUUUGUACAUCAUAAAGGUUCAAUGCCUUAAGACAGCUUCACUGAAGAGCCUGAAAAAAUAGCGAAAACAGAAGACUAUAAAAGCAUACCAGCAAUGAACCAGUUCAUCAACUGGUGUAUUGUGUGUAGUUCUUGCUUCACUGUUCUGUGAGAUGUAGAUAAAAACACCAUUACCGAUGAUAAUCCAACCAAAAGAGCCUGAUUUCAAGCAGUAAGAAAGCAGUUACUUUCAAUUGUGUUAACAAUAUACACGAGCUUAUCAUUCCAGCAAAAGGUAGAGAGAUAUGUUGCCUACCUGUAAUUGAAAGAGCAUAGGAAACCUGGGUUGUCUCUUUUCAUGAUUACAAAUGCCAAACCAGAAUCUAUUCACACCAGCUUUUAGGUCAAGCCACUUUCCAGUUAAUCCUAUUACAAUAACCAUCACUCCACUAGCAUUUCUGCACACGUUCAUGAGGCACAAGUAUAACCAAUUAAAACAUUAUAGAUGAUAGAAUUAUGUAAAGGGAACUGAUACUAUAAUUUUCCAUCAGUCUUAAGGAAUUAAACUUUAUCAACAAACAAUAAUUUUAAGAAACCUUAACUUUUGGGAAUGAUAGAGGUUAGAAUGUGUUUGUACUUCUAUUGUCGAACCAGUUCACCUAUCUUUAAAUAAAAGGAAAAAUCACGACAAAGGAGGAACAAGGAAGGCAACUCACACCAACUUAUUAUUAUCAGGAAUUUCAGCAGGCAUUAAAGUAAAUAGAGACAAGAACCAACAAGUGAGACAAACAAAAACUGGAAUUCCAGAUCUCCAUGGAAUUGAUUUGUAAAGAUAUAUAGAAGCUAUGGCUCCGACUAUGAGGAAGCACCAAGUGUAGAGUUUUCUCUCAGUGAAGCUAUGCACCUGUACAAGGUACAAUAAAACACGGUUUAGAACAUUAAAAUAUCACUUAAAUAAUCACAAAAACAACAGAAUGUUGUACCAGCAUACCAGGAGCUCAAGAAUGAUCACUGAGACCACGACAAGGGCCAGAAGUUUAAUGACAUAGUCGGAUUCUCUCCCACGUAAGUAUCUCCAAAGUGCUUUUAUAAACUUAUAUUCAUUUAGUAUUUGCGUCCAGAGAAAUAUCGUCAUGGCAAAGUAUGCAUGGUAAAGUGGAGGGGAGCGCUCCAGAAAUAGCAGAACACUGACUACUGCCAUAAACAGACAGCCACAUAGCUGAGCCUGCCAUAUAGGAUGAUAUAUGUGAGAAUGUAGUAUCUAACUGGAAGAAACAAAUAAUUUGUUCCCUAUCCAGAAAAUGCUCAUUUGAUGAAAAAUAAUACAAAAAUGAGCAAGGAAAGCAAACAAACAUGAUAUAAAUAUAGUAAACUAAGCAUAAUUGAAAAAAUGUUGGUGUCUGCAAAGAAACUAGGAGCUCAACUAAUAGAACCAAGUAGUUCUUGUCAGCUUUGAAAUAUAAGGUAAUUUUUUAAGAAACUAAUUUACCACAAGGCAUUUUGGCUUCAAGCUUCAUAAACUUAUGAAAAACAUUUCCAUUUGUUUUCUCUUUUUUCCCUCUGUCGUUAAAAGUAAGUUUAAAAGAGAUUAAGCUUACAUAGACAUUACUUUUCCUGUAUUAGAUUUCUGGCGAACGGCUUCCUCCUUUCUAAAUAUAUCUCCUGGCAAUAAAGUAUAAGCUUGCAGAACAUGAAGAACAAGAAAGACCAUCCAACUGAUAUAUCCAAGAGUAAUCAUGGCCAUCAGCAUCAGCAAAUCAUAAGUUUGAAAAUAAUGAAGUCCUUUCAGUGCCAAGCUUCUUAGAUUUUCUGAUAGCUGCAUGGCAGCUUUAUAGUCUCUAGCACUUAGCAAUUCCUCAAUUUGAUUCAACAUAGAGGAGUAAGACGCAAGUGGCUUGAAAGGCUUGAAAAACAGUGAAUGUGAUUGCUUUAUUUCUAAGUUUGUCAAGGAAAAGAGUUACAGAAUGCCAAUCCAUAAUCCAGUAACACCUUCCACAUUUUAACACAGAAUCAAACAGAAUAUCCAAUAAUUGAAUAAAAAACAUGUAGAUAAGAAGUAAUAAGAUUUCGGUUGGCCAAAAUCAGGUAAAUGUUUAAAAAAGUUACAAAGGGUAUUUCUGAGUGAAAACAUGAAACACAACAUUCUGGUCAACAAAUCUAAGUUCAAACUUCAUGAGGAACAAAACUUAAAGAUAGACAAUGAUCUUAUUUUGUAAUAUAAAAUCUUUUCAAGGAAUUAUGGAAAACAAAUUAAGUACCAUACUGCAUUGAACUAAAACUAGUUUAUGAAAAGGAUACGUGAUUUGCGCAGAAACUGGUUCAGAAUCUGUUUUGUGUUAGCUAGCACAGCUUCUACUUCUUCUUCCUGAACAUUAAAUAGUGAAUAUUUUUCAUCAGUUUUCUAUGCAUUUAUUGCAAUGAAAACUUGUUUAGCCGCACCGAAAUACCUAAUUAGUUGAUCUCCAUCAGAGUAUAAAAUAGCCCAUCCUAAGUUCAUAACAGAUCUCAAAAUAAGCAUUCUAAUGAAAAAUAUUCAGACUCACCUCUUUCAUGUCAACGUAACCAAGAGGUAAAUUCCCGACUGAAUUGACUGGACAAGGCAAACCAAGAAGAGUUGACUGCCAAAAAAAGUAAGGAGCAUCAGUUCAGUUGGGGGUUAAACAUGUUUCAAAGAAAUACUUUAAACAGGAUUUUUUUUUUUUUUAUCAACAUUAAACAACCAUGAGCGGUGCAAUAUCAGCUUGAUUGACAUCAACUCUUUCGAUGCCAUCGAGGUCCCAUUCUUUAGGUGUUGGCGUGUCAUGCAAAUGUUGAUCAAUAAAACGAAGAACAUGAUCCGAGUGAUCUUUUGCAGUGACUGGCCUGGGAUGUUUUACGCCAGCUCCCCAGACAACUAGAGGAGUAUCAGUGUUUGAAGGAUGCCCAUCCCCAUGACUUCCUAGUAAUCAAAAGCUAAUCAUGUCAGAAUCUGUAAUUAGAAACGAUCAAAGAAAACAAAUAGAACUAGAGGAAGAAAGAUUAAGUAGAAAACUAGUUUUGGUCUUAUAAAAAGUUACAUGUUACAAUGGACAAGGCAUGGCCUAGUGGUAGACACACCUUACUACCUUACUUCCAAGGAGAUCUCGAGCAUAGGGGUCUUAUCAAAAGAUUUUCAGUCAUACAACCUAGAGCAAGAUAACAAAAGUAAAUAAGGUGAAGUAUAUAAAAGAGUUCCCCACCUUUGUCACUCAUUCCAUGAUCAGCUGUGAAGAUAUAUGAUGUACGAUUGUCCUUGUAGUAAUUCUCAAGAAGAUUAUAAACACGUUCGGCAAUAUGAUCAACAACCUUUACAUUGUUGAGAUAAAUAGAUGAAAAGGGACGAUGUGCAUGACCAUUUGAAUCACAACCAAGUAGAUGCAGAAAUACAACAAGAUUAUCUUGUUCAAGUAACCUUUUCAACUUUGGGUCUUCAUUGGACCUAUUCAGCAGGCUCUGAAAUUGAUCAAAAGACCAUUCAUCCAAAAAGGAUGCAUCUGCAUUUACAUCAAUUGAAAUAAGCAUUGAACAAGAGUGAAAAUCAUAAAGAUGAAAUACAAUCAUCAGUAAGCAUCAUAAUACAAGGAUUUCAAGAAAGCCAAAUAUAUAGAACGCUGAUAGAAUUUAGUUGUAAACCUUGAAAGGUGUCAACAUAUAAAGCAUGUUCAUAUCAAUGUAAUCUAAUUGGAAUAGGAAUAAACAAGGUAUGAUUGGAAGCAAAGAAGCAGUAUCCAAAAUUACUAGCAGAGGUAUUUUCAAUUAAUAGUUCAAAAAAGAACAGUUUGAUGAGAACCCUCUUUUUAUUAUUUUUUUUCAUUUUAAGCUUCUUUCUUUUCUUUUAGAACGAUUUCAUAAUUUAUAAGAGAAAUUUGCCUUCCACAAAAUUUUAAGCAGACCAGUAGCGAAGUCUUCAAACUCGUGGGGAUAUGUAGCCCAAGUGCUGUGCGGCAAAGCACCACAAAAUAUUGGAACAAUAUCUGGACUACCAUAAGAAAUUGUAUGCCGGCUCCGAUUAAAAACUGAAUCAAAUUCAACUGGAUUAGCUUUCCAUCCUGCAAUCAAAAUGGAAAAGCUUAACAAAGGGAAAAAUUUGUUGGUCAAUUCCAGCAAGGUGAUGUAAUAAUGCUUAAAACAUUAACCUUUUGUAACUGCACUAGGGUCCUCAUAGAAACCAGCAAUUAUAGCAACAUGUCCAGGCCUUGACUCCGUUGGAGGCCGAGCAUGAGAUACUCCCCAUCGACCUUGAUUCUUAAUCACAUUUCUUAAAAAGGGUGCUCUGAAAUUCCCUUCCAAAUCUGGCUCGAAAAAUUUAUCAGCACGUAAACCAUCCGCUGCAAUGAUAUGGUUUUACCAAAACGUAGCAAUUAGUAAUUACACUAAACAUUAAAAAAUGAGUAAUCAUUUCAGGAAAAUGAAAUGUUUCAAACAUUAAACUGUAGAUGCAUCACAAUAAUCAUGAACAGCCCAUCAUUGAGUUCUCCAUUUUUCAUAUAAAAAACUUGGCCUUUUAGUACAAAGCUAAAAUAACUAACAUACCCAAAAGGUUCUUUGUUUCGAUUUAGCUGAAUUGCCAGAUUUGCAUCGAACUCAACAAGCCAUUUCUCACUAUCAAUCCUAUUCAACAAAAUCAAGGGGGGUUGAACCCUAAAAAGAGAAGAAAGGUGGGUUUACCAACAAGAAGAACAAGGCGUUUAGCAGGAGGAGAGAAGCGAGGGGAGACAAGAUCCAUGCCAUGAACAAUGGGGGUCUUGAAGUAGAUGUCGAAGAUGCUUAACAUGUAAACGGCAUGGAGGAUGACACCAAGAAUAACCAGCCAUGUUUCUCUUCUUUUAACCCAUUGUCGUCGCCUGGGUAUGCUUGAUUUGCCUAGCUUCGAAUCUCCGUUACCCAAGAUCCCAUCUAUAUCCAUCUUUUUCGUUACUUUGGUUUCUCUGUUGUAACCCAAAAUUACUUGGUCUCACCUCUCUAUAAACUCUUGCAAGAAAACCAACAAGAAAACUAUUACAUCUUAAAAGUCAGUUAUUUGGUUUUUUUUUUUUUUAUUAUUGUUUAUUUUUCUUUUCUCAUUUGUACAAGAAAAAUACUAAAAUAGUUUUUUUAUUGGAAAAUUAGUUUUUAAAUACAUCAAAAUAUAUUUUAAAAAAUAUAACUUAUUAUUUUAAUUACAAAACUAAACCAAAUAUCAAUCGAGUCUAGUUUAAUAACGACUCUUCGGCUUAAGGAGUUUACUACUUACAAGGCCUAUAUUUCUUAAAAAAAGACGAGAUGAGAUCCUGUGGCCGAAGUACCAAACCCAAAAAGAACGAGUUGAAUCGGAUUCUCGCUCAAAGCCUAUUCUCGAUGCACUCUUUCUCUUAUAGCGGAAUUCCCCUUCACUUGCCAAACCUUCUUCUUCCUGGUCCUAUCGAACCAGACACUGAAUACCUGGCCUUACCCAAGCCCAAGUCUAGUUUCGAAUCUAGUCUCGGCAUCAAUCCGUGAAAGCCUUCAAGCUCAAUCCCUUCCUUCUAGGCUUCCCCGCUCUUUGGGAUAGCAGAAAUACUAAAGAUCGUGACAACCACAACUAGAUCUAUUCUGUGAACAGUCUCUUUCUCAGCCAAAGUAUCUUUCGAGACCUUUCCAUCAUGACCUUUGGAAGAAACUGGCUCUCCCAUGGGAACUGAUUAGAUAACGCGUUCGCACCGUUCAAUUGAAUCAAAGAAGCCUUCCUUUGGUUCUACCUUUCUCUCUGGUUGAGUACCUUUUUUCUAUGUAAAAAUUUAAAGAAUAGUGCGAUGUAAUAGAUUCAAUGACAAGAAUCAAAUAAAGUUGAUGGGACUCUAAGUAAGACAUCCACGUGAGACUCUCGUAUAUUUUCUCAAGAUGUCAUAUGUUCUAUUAGGUGAGGUAUAAUAAAUAUAGAGUUAACUUUUACUAUUUAAAAAAUAUCAUUUAUUAUUUAAGAGAGUUAACAUUUUUAAAACUUAUAUAAUUUUGCAAAUGAAAUCUUUUAUUUGAAAUUAAAUUACAAUUGAAAAAUUAAUUUCAAGAUAUGUUGAUUUUGUUAUAAUUUAAGUUUAUUUGAUUUUUUUUAAAUAAUAUAAGAAUUAAAUUGAUCUAUUUAAUAAUAGUGAGACUAAUUGGAUAUAGUCCUAAUAAUUAGCGGAUCUCCCGCAAACUUUAAUCCAACUGAAUCUCGAUAUUAAUAAAAUUGUAUCAAUUUAAUUCUUGCUCAUUGGGAAAAAAUUUCAAAUAAGGUUAAAGUUAAAAAGAGUUAAUGUUUAUUAGUGAAGACAAAGUGAAUGGUUUGUGAUUUCCUAUAAUGUUUUAAGGAUGUGUUUGGGCAUUACAUAGUAAUUGAAUAAACGUAUAAUUAUUUGGGUUAUAAUUAUACUCUCUUGUAAUUAUAACAAAUUUUUAGUCUUUAAACGUGUUUGACUAAUAAAAUAUAAUUACAUCGUAAUUUUUUAUCUCAUGUUUAAUAAUAUAAAUUAUAAUUAUACGAUCCCAUGCAGGAGCCAAUUAACUCUCAAUCUUUGGUGCCAAGAGAUUUUUUUGAGUUUUUCAAUCUCCCCUUUUUCCUUGCCAACACCUUGGAAUUUCAGAGCUUCCAAUUUCUUCAUUAUCCAUCCAUGUCCCAAGUCCUCUCCCAAAUUCUUUCUUCCUUCAUUUAUGAUAUUCUCACGUUCAUUGCUAGAUUGAAAUUGGAAGGUCUUUCUCCGUUUUAAUUCUUAUGAUCCGAGCCUAUAGCACCGUUUGCCAACCCUAUACUACAGUGGAAGAGGAUACUCCACUCAACAUUACAAAGGAUGCCAUCUAAUUUCUCAUUUACAAAUUCGUCCCCUCAGAUACUAAUACCCUCAACCUCACAUUCCACCUAUUGACGCAAACUAAGUUGCCCCUCCUUGCUUUUGAAAUAGGGCAUGAAUCUUGUUAGAAUCUCCAAUGCAAUACCAAGCACUUACCAAGCAUUUCAUCAAAUCCCGAAGGUCAAAUUUUAGUCCUAACCAGAUGAUAACUAUUAAGUUACGUUCUUUUUAAAAUUUGAUGUGUCAAAAUAUACUUUCGCAUAUUGAUCAAACUAAAUUAAAUGUACUAAACCCACAAUUUACACAAAAUACAAGGUCUAAUAGCCCAAUCCCAAACCUCAACUCAUCCUUCAUUCUAAGGACACCCAAAUAAUUUUCAUUUUAAGUCAUCCAAGGCCCUAUUUGUUGAGGGUUCGAUGGAUUAUUUGAUGCUAAGAGCCUAAGAAAUAUCUUCCAAGGAUGAUGUGCCUACUCAGAUUUAUUAUUUAUUUCUCAAUGUUAAAAUAUAAACAUAUAUUAGGCUUACAUUCUGCUUAGGAACAUAAUUUUUCAUUAACGAGAACAAAAGGGAACUUACUAUAUACUACUUAUUUAUCUUCAAUUAUAUGUUAAUUAAAACUAUUUGACAAGUUCAUAGCUUCUAGGAUUACAAACGAAGACACUACAAGAAAUCCAUCCAUUUCCUCUCUUCUUACAGAACUUAUUACUGCAAGCUUUUUUGCUAUUACAAAUAUGAAAAACACAUACUCAAGAAGUGUCGUUUUUUGGGGGCUUUGGUUGGGCUUUUCAAGGACAUUUGUGCUUGUUGCGGUGGGUUCUCAUAUCAGUAUAACAUUUGCCACACAUUUCCCUGUUACCAUAUGUCCCUGGUGGGACACAUUUGCAUCUGUCACAGCAUGUCAUGCAAGCUCUCAAGCAUAGGUUAGUCCUUGAGUGUAAUUUGCACCUUUGUCCACAUAAUGGGAUGCAAUCUGCCAACAAAGUUGUCCAACAUGUUGUCAGAAAGAUAACAGAUAAGUUCCUUGAGUUUUGGUAAAUGAAAAAAUGAUGUUUUCUUUACCCUUUUUUGUCCUAACAGGUGGCAAUGGUGGACUUGGUGGCUUGUAAGGCGGUGCUGGAGUUGUUGGUGGCUUAACUGGAGGUGUAGGAACUGGGGGCUUAUAUGGGGGAGUUGGUGCUUUAGUUGGCGGUGCUGGUGCUGGAGUUGGUGCUUUGGUUGGGGGUGUUGGGGGCUUAUAUGGGGGAGUAGGGGCCUUGACUGGAGGUGCCGGUGCGGGAGUAGGGGGUUUAUAUGGGGGAGUAGGAGCCUUGGUUGGUGGUGCUGGUGCUGGGGGCUUAAAUGGUGGAGUUGGAGCCUUGGUUGGUGGUGCAGGAGCUGGGGGCUUAUAUGGUGGAGUAGGAGCCUUGGUUGGUGGUGCAGGAGCUGGGGGCUUAUAUGGUGGAGUAGGAGCCUUGGUUGGUGGUGCAGGAGCUGGGGGUUUAUAUGGGGGAGUAGGAGCCUUGGUUGGUGGUUUAUAUGGUGGAGUGGGGGCCUUGGUAGGGGGUUUGUAUGGAGUGGGGCCCUUAGUUGGGGGUGCUGGAGUUGGAGCCUUGUACGGCGGCACCGGAGUGGUGGGAGGCUUAACGGGUGGAGCAGGGAUAGGUGCCUUCACUGGAACAGGAGCAGCAUACUUAAUCUGAACAGUGAUAUGCAACAAAUUUAGCAAAGUUCCAUUUACAGACUAUGGUCUUAUGCACCACAAUGGCUAAUAGCAUUCAGUAUGAAAAAAUACAAGAAAUACAUUAUCCAAAAAGAAAAAACAUGAAUCAGAUUGUUUCAAAAGAACCAAGUUUAAGAUUGUUACAACCUAGACAAGACAAAACAGUAAAAUAAAUGAUUGAAAAAUCACCUCA
RNAcentral lists this long non-coding RNA (33081 nucleotides) under Gossypium raimondii (Peruvian cotton). RNAcentral describes it as "long non-coding RNA (GRAI_LNC000818)". The stretch from base 21183 to 21327 matches the Rfam family "MIR7502 microRNA precursor family". Lineage: Eukaryota; Viridiplantae; Streptophyta; Magnoliopsida; Malvales; Malvaceae. The record is from RNAcentral.